RNAcentral lists this long non-coding RNA (326 nucleotides) under Nicotiana benthamiana. RNAcentral describes it as "long non-coding RNA (NBEN_LNC036648)". The record is from RNAcentral. Lineage: Eukaryota; Viridiplantae; Streptophyta; Magnoliopsida; Solanales; Solanaceae.
GGUAAUAUGCGCAAGAAAACACAACAGUAGCAGUAUAAAAUUUAAGUAAAAAUUUAACAACAUCAUUAAUGACCUUCCAAGUAUCACUUGUUAACAUACGCCUAGGAUCAGUAUAAUGUGCAUUAGCAACUUCAGUAAUUGGAAAUCUAUAUUUGUAGCAACAUUUUAAAAAUAUAUAUGUAUAAUUCCAUCUAGUAACAAUUUCGUCUGGCAUGAAUCUAGGUGUAAGGUUUAUAUUUUUAAAAACAUUUUAAAAAUAUAUAUGUAUAAUUCCAUCUAGUAACAAUUUCGGCUGGCGUGAAUCUAGGUGUAAGGUUAUACUGGAU